Unclassified non-coding RNA from Cercocebus atys (sooty mangabey), 258 nucleotides. It matches the Rfam family "Metazoan signal recognition particle RNA". From Rfam's summary of the family: The signal recognition particle (SRP) is a universally conserved ribonucleoprotein. It is involved in the co-translational targeting of proteins to membranes. The eukaryotic SRP consists of a 300-nucleotide 7S RNA and six proteins: SRPs 72, 68, 54, 19, 14, and 9. NCBI's taxonomy places the organism in Eukaryota, Metazoa, Chordata, Mammalia, Primates, Cercopithecidae. The record is from Ensembl.
CCUAGGAGGAAGGGGGGAUUGUUAGCAGCAUAGGAUUGAAGAGUUGGAAGAGACCUUUAGAACAGCUGAUCAUUGUGCCAACCGGGUGUCUGCACUGAGUUCGGCAUCAAUAUGGUAACUUUCUGGGAGCAGGGGGCCACCAGGUUGCCUAAGGAUGAGUGAACUGGCCCAGAUCAGAGAGGGAGCAGGUCAGAACUCCCGCACUGACCGGUAAUGUGACUGUGCCUGGGCAAUAUAGCAAGAUCUUGGUUCUUAAAA